GAGGGUAUAGCUCAGUGGUAGAGUGCAUGCUUAGCAAGCAUAAGGUCCUGGGUUCAAUCCCCAGUACUUCCA
RNAcentral lists this transfer RNA (72 nucleotides) under Camelus bactrianus (Bactrian camel). It matches the Rfam family "tRNA". From Rfam's summary of the family: Transfer RNA (tRNA) molecules are approximately 80 nucleotides in length. Lineage: Eukaryota; Metazoa; Chordata; Mammalia; Artiodactyla; Camelidae. The record is from Rfam by way of RNAcentral. RNAcentral also lists the same sequence under 1 other name.